RNAcentral lists this transfer RNA (100 nucleotides) under Siccirubricoccus deserti. Its description in RNAcentral is "tRNA-Val". Lineage: Bacteria; Pseudomonadati; Pseudomonadota; Alphaproteobacteria; Acetobacterales; Roseomonadaceae. The record is from RNAcentral.
GCUCUACCGCGGCACGCCGGAGGUGCCAGGGCUGGUACUCGGCCUCGACCGCGGCGGCGCCUGUCGUGGGGUGGCGUUUCGGGUCGCCGGGCAGGAUGCC